Molecule: ribosomal RNA, 245 nt
Filed under: uncultured bacterium
Lineage: Bacteria
Description: partial 16S ribosomal RNA
Rfam family: Bacterial small subunit ribosomal RNA
Source: RNAcentral
GACGAACCGUGCGAACGUUGUUCGGAAUCACUGGGCUUAAAGGGCGCGUAGGCGGCUUGCCAAGUCAGUGGUGAAAUCCUGCAGCUUAACUGCAGAAGUGCCUUUGAUACUGGCGAGCUAGAGGGAGGUAGGGGUAUGUGGAACUUCUGGUGGAGCGGUGAAAUGCGUUGAUAUCAGAAGGAACGCCGGUGGCGAAAGCGACGUACUGGACCUUUUCUGACGCUGAGGCGCGAAAGCUAGGGGAG